GAUGAACGCUGGCGGCGUGCCUAAUACAUGCAAGUCGAGCGGACAGACGGGGAGCUUGCUCCUCUGACGAUUGCGGAAGGCGGGUGAGUAACACGUGGAAACCCUACCUAUAAGACUGGGAUAACUUCGGAACACCGGAGAUAAUAGCGGAUGAUAUAUUGAACCGCGUGGUUCGAUAGUGAAAGACGGUUUUGCUGUCACUGAUAGAUGGAUCCGCGCCGCGUUAGCUAGGUGGUAAGGUAACAAGUUAUCAAGGCAAAGAUGCGUAGACGACCUGAGAGGGUGGUCGGCCACACUGGAACGGAGACACGCUCCAGACUCCUACGGGAGGCAGCAGUAUCGAAUCUUCCGCAACGGGCGAAAACCUUACGCAGCAACGCCGCGCGUGUUACGACGGUCUUCGGAUCGGAAAACCCUGUUUUUAGGUAAGAACAAAUUUUUGCGUAGCUAUGCACGUCUUGACGGUACCUACACAGAAAGCCACGGCUAACUACGUG
RNAcentral lists this ribosomal RNA (497 nucleotides) under uncultured bacterium. RNAcentral describes it as "partial 16S ribosomal RNA". It matches the Rfam family "Bacterial small subunit ribosomal RNA", at positions 28 to 507 of the family's 1533-position model. The record is from RNAcentral.